This 65-nucleotide transfer RNA is filed under the name Laevipilina antarctica. Its description in RNAcentral is "tRNA-Pro". Lineage: Eukaryota; Metazoa; Mollusca; Monoplacophora; Tryblidiida; Neopilinidae. The record is from RNAcentral.
UCACUCCAUAGUUUAAAAAAAAACAUAAACUUUGGAAGUUUAAGACUGAAAAAUUUCAUGGAUUG